RNAcentral lists this ribosomal RNA (1409 nucleotides) under Staphylococcus aureus. RNAcentral's name for it is "bacterial SSU rRNA". It matches the Rfam family "Bacterial small subunit ribosomal RNA". The record is from RNAcentral. Lineage: Bacteria; Bacillati; Bacillota; Bacilli; Caryophanales; Staphylococcaceae.
UGCAGUCGAGCGAACGGACGAGAAGCUUGCUUCUCUGAUGUUAGCGGCGGACGGGUGAGUAACACGUGGAUAACCUACCUAUAAGACUGGGAUAACUUCGGGAAACCGGAGCUAAUACCGGAUAAUAUUUUGAACCGCAUGGUUCAAAAGUGAAAGACGGUCUUGCUGUCACUUAUAGAUGGAUCCGCGCUGCAUUAGCUAGUUGGUAAGGUAACGGCUUACCAAGGCAACGAUGCAUAGCCGACCUGAGAGGGUGAUCGGCCACACUGGAACUGAGACACGGUCCAGACUCCUACGGGAGGCAGCAGUAGGGAAUCUUCCGCAAUGGGCGAAAGCCUGACGGAGCAACGCCGCGUGAGUGAUGAAGGUCUUCGGAUCGUAAAACUCUGUUAUUAGGGAAGAACAUAUGUGUAAGUAACUGUGCACAUCUUGACGGUACCUAAUCAGAAAGCCACGGCUAACUACGUGCCAGCAGCCGCGGUAAUACGUAGGUGGCAAGCGUUAUCCGGAAUUAUUGGGCGUAAAGCGCGCGUAGGCGGUUUUUUAAGUCUGAUGUGAAAGCCCACGGCUCAACCGUGGAGGGUCAUUGGAAACUGGAAAACUUGAGUGCAGAAGAGGAAAGUGGAAUUCCAUGUGUAGCGGUGAAAUGCGCAGAGAUAUGGAGGAACACCAGUGGCGAAGGCGACUUUCUGGUCUGUAACUGACGCUGAUGUGCGAAAGCGUGGGGAUCAAACAGGAUUAGAUACCCUGGUAGUCCACGCCGUAAACGAUGAGUGCUAAGUGUUAGGGGGUUUCCGCCCCUUAGUGCUGCAGCUAACGCAUUAAGCACUCCGCCUGGGGAGUACGACCGCAAGGUUGAAACUCAAAGGAAUUGACGGGGACCCGCACAAGCGGUGGAGCAUGUGGUUUAAUUCGAAGCAACGCGAAGAACCUUACCAAAUCUUGACAUCCUUUGACAACUCUAGAGAUAGAGCCUUCCCCUUCGGGGGACAAAGUGACAGGUGGUGCAUGGUUGUCGUCAGCUCGUGUCGUGAGAUGUUGGGUUAAGUCCCGCAACGAGCGCAACCCUUAAGCUUAGUUGCCAUCAUUAAGUUGGGCACUCUAAGUUGACUGCCGGUGACAAACCGGAAGRAAGGUGGGGAUGACGUCAAAUCAUCAUGCCCCUUAUGAUUUGGGCUACACACGUGCUACAAUGGACAAUACAAAGGGCAGCGAAACCGCGAGGUCAAGCAAAUCCCAUAAAGUUGUUCUCAGUUCGGAUUGUAGUCUGCAACUCGACUACAUGAAGCUGGAAUCGCUAGUAAUCGUAGAUCAGCAUGCUACGGUGAAUACGUUCCCGGGUCUUGUACACACCGCCCGUCACACCACGAGAGUUUGUAACACCCGAAGCCGGUGGAGUAACCUUUUAG